UACGUAGGGCGCAAGCGUUGUCCGGAAUUAUUGGGCGUAAAGAGCUCGUAGGCGGUUUGUCGCGUCUGCUGUGAAAACCUAAGGCUCAACCUUGGGCUUGCAGUGGGUACGGGCAGACUAGAGUGCGGUAGGGGUGACUGGAAUUCCUGGUGUAGCGGUGAAAUGCGCAGAUAUCAGGGGGAACACCGGUGGCGAAGGCGGGAUCCUGGGCCAGUACUGACGCUGAGGAGCGAAAGCGUGGGGAGCAAACAGG
Molecule: ribosomal RNA, 253 nt
Filed under: uncultured bacterium
Lineage: Bacteria
Description: partial 16S ribosomal RNA
Rfam family: Bacterial small subunit ribosomal RNA
Source: RNAcentral